This 935-nucleotide long non-coding RNA is filed under the name Ananas comosus (pineapple). Its description in RNAcentral is "long non-coding RNA (ACOM_LNC040122)". Lineage: Eukaryota; Viridiplantae; Streptophyta; Magnoliopsida; Poales; Bromeliaceae. The record is from RNAcentral.
UGGUUCAUGGAUUUGGUGUAUGGAUUUGGUUCAUGAAAUUGGAUAUGGUUCAUGGAUUUGGUGUAUGGAUUUGGUUCAUGAACUUGGAUAUGGUUCAUGAAUUUGGUGUAUGGAUUUGGUUCAUGAACUUGGAUAUGGUUCAUGGGUUUGGUGUAUGGAUUUGGUUCAUGGGUUCAGUGUAUGGAUUUGGUUCAUGAACUUUGAUAUGGUUCAUGGGUUCGGUGUAUGGAUUUGGUUCAUGAACUUUGAUAUGGUUCAUGGGUUCGGUGUAUGGAUUUGGUUCAUGGGUUCGGUGUAUGGAUUUGGUUCAUGAACUUUGAUAUGAUUCAUGGGUUCGGCGUAUGGAUUUAGUUCAUGGUUUAAGGGAUUUGGGUUUAGUUUAACGACUUUUCGGUCAUUUGGAUUUGGGUUUAGAUUAGCGACUUCUCGGUCGUUUGAAAUUUGGAUUUAGUUUAACGAUUUUUCGGUCGUUUGAAAUUUGGGUUUAGUUUAACGACUUUGCGGUCGUUUGAAAUUUGGGUUUAGUUUAGCGAUGUUUCGGUCGUUUGGUUUAGUUUAGCGACGUUUCGGUCGUUUGAUUUGAUUGUUUAGUUUAACGACUUUGCGGUCGUUUGAUUUGAUUGUUUAGUUUAAUGACUUUGCGGUCGUUGGUUUUAUUUGUGGACUUUGGGUUUUGGCAUUUUAUUUGUGGACUUUGGGUUUUGGGAUUUAUUUGUGGACUUUGGGUUUUGAAAUUUUAUUUGUGGACUUUGGGUUUUGAAAUUUUAUUUGUGGACUUUGGAUUUUGAAAUUUUAUUUGUGGACUUUGGGUUUUGGGUUGGGUUAAACCUAUUGUAUUUGAUUUGGAAUGAACCGUUAUGCUUUGGUUCGGGACCCAUCAAGACUUGGUUUGGGUUGGAUUCUUUACAGUUUGGUUCGGAUUGGACGACUUCGGU